GAUUAGAACACUGAAGACUGAAAUGCAGCAACUUGCCAAAGUUUAGGCAUAAAGUUAAAAGGAAUUGGGUCAAGAACUCAGAAUUUCUUAUUCCUUGUACAGAAAAUGCUCAUCUAUGUCCUACGCCAUAGAUGCAUGUGUGAAUAAACAUUUUCUUUAAAGGAAUAUUCUUCAUAAAUGAAUUUUAUUUUAAAAUUUAUCACAGAAAGUGACUUUUUUCCUUUUGGUAUAAAAUCCUAUGGAUUUUAUUUCAUGUACAGAUUUGUGUAAUCCCUACCAGGAUUGAGCACAGUUCUAUCACUUUGAAAAAAUUUCUCAUGUCAUUCUUUAUGAAUGUAAAUUCAUAAAAAUACAUAUUUGUAAAACAUAAUCUAAAACAUAAUGUAAAUUCAUACAAAUAUAUAUUUGUAAUUUAUUUAGGAAUAUAAAUUCAAACCCUUUUCCCAACCCCUGGCAACCAUUGACCUAUGUCACUAUAGUUUUUUUUUUCUUUUUUUAGGAUGUCUUUUAAAUGUAUUCUUAUAUAGCAUGCAAUUUUUUGAGACUGACUUAUUUCAUAAGCAUAAUGCCUUUAAGAUUCAUCUGAGUUGUUGCAUGUAUCAACAAUUUGUUCCUUUUUAUUGCUACCAGUAUUCCAUUGUUUGGAUCUACCACGGUUUGUUUAUCUACUAACCUAGUAAGGGACUGUUGAAUUGGCUUCAGAGAACGGAUAAUUGAAAAGUUUUCCUGAGAACUAGGCAGAUGGAAAAGUGUGAAUCUGUGACAGGAUGACCAACCAUCCCAGUUUGACUGGGACUAUACUGGUUUUAGUACUGAGAAUUCUGUGUUCUAGGUAACUUCUCAGUCCUGUUGUUCACAUGUGACUCGGGCUGAUCUUAGAUGGAAUUGUAACCAAGUCAAAAUUUGUCUGCUUUCCUGUUUCUACCUAAAGGUACAUCUUUUUUCUUUUCUUUUUCUCCCUAACCAAAUCCAGCUUUUAUCAAAGGACCUGAUAAACCCAUUCACAUUAAGCUGCACAUUUCAGAUGUAAAUUUCCAAGUUAUCUUAUAAGGGACAGUUACAUUUUAAGCUGAGGAAUGAGAACCUGUAACAUAGAGACAUGUAGCAUUUUGCAACAUAUAAAUACAGAUGGGGAGGUUUUUUUUUGAGCUUCUCAUCACCCAUAAAGUAAUUAUUCCCUUCAGAAGGAAAAGAUGCUGAACAAUCCAGUAUCUUGUUGGUGUCUCUUUGCAAAGAAGCAACUAGGGGCAGCUCAUCUUCUACCUGUGAGUUCCCAUGAGUUCAGCCUGUCCUAAUCUAGGUUCAAGUGCUUAAUGUGUACAAAUGUCUGGGCAUGUGAAGCACUCAGAGUGAAGGCAAAGCCUUUAGUAGCCCUUGCAAGAGCCCCACUUCAGCUCCUGCUUUCAUCUGCACAAAUGGGCAAGCUGAAGAACAAUCAACUCUGCAUCUGAAGACUGGGCCAGGAGGUUAGGAAUAGAAGAUCAUCUCCCAGGACAACACUCAGAAGUAGUCUGCUUAGGGAUAGUAACUGAAAUGUUUAAUAUAUAUGCAGGUGGCUUCAUGUUAUAGUGGUUUAGAUUCCCGACUCUGGAACCAAAUGCUUUGGGUUUCAAUCUAAGUCUAGGCUUUCUACCUGUUUCCUUGACACAGUUUCUUCACUGGUAAAAUGGGAAUAUCAAUAAUAUAUAUCUCAUGGGACUUUUGUGAAGCUUAGAUGGAAUGAUGACUGUCAAAUGCAUUGAAGUUAGUAAUGAAUGUUAGCUAUUUUUAUGAUGAAAUUAAGGUGAAGGUUAUGGAGGACCUUGUAAUAGUAUAAGAACAGAUAUCUCCUAUGCCAUUUGAAAGCUUUCUCAGCUUAAGUGGGACCAUAAACACUCAUUAUGUCCUAUGUCUGAUUUCUUUAUGAAUAAAUGAGAAAUUAGUUACAGAAAAUAAAUGCGGUGUUUAUAUAUAAGGCAGAUCUAGAUAGUCACAAUAGUCAGAGUUCAAGAGGAAACUGAUGGAACCAGCCUCUUUUGUUCCUUUUACCAAGAAAGAAAAACUUUCUCAGAAGCUUCCCCAGUUGAACACUGGAUUGCAUGGCCACCUCUAGCAGAAAGAGAGGUUGGGAGGGUAAAGCAUUCCCUGGCUAAGGCCAAUUAUUGUCCAUUGCAUAAUGCUAGAAGAAAAUGAAUAACUGGGUAGGCAAGUGACAGAGUUCACUCACACAUUAGAGUCCUUUUUAUUUUUAUUUUGUUACAUUAGCUAGCCCCAAUGAAUUUCUCCUUCUUGUAAUCAUAAAAACACAUGAUGCUUUUCAGAUGCUCUGAUACUGUCAGUUGCUUGGACUCUGGAACUCUUUCGUGGUCCAUGAAUUGGGCUAGGAAAAAGGCUCUUCUGCUCCUGCCUUUCAGAAGAAGAUGGAACCAAGGGGGCUGCAGGAACAGAAAUUCAUUUCAAAGUGCAGCCAGUGCCAACAGGGGAGAGUGGGCAGAGAAAUCAAAUGAAAAUGCCAAAACGCUGACUACACGGCCAGUUUGCAUCAUGUGAACCACUUUGGAGCCUGAGGACAGAAACCAAAAAUAUGCUUCUGUUCAGAGGCGGCUAACAGCACUAGUGUUAUUAUUGUUAUCAUCAUCAUCACCACCAUCAUUCGUCCAUAAAUUUAAAACUGAUGUGUGAUGAGCUGCCGUGUAUCAAGGAACUGAUGUCUUCAGCCAACAAGCAGCUAGAAUCUGAGGGGUUGAAACAGCCACAUGAGUGAGCUUGGAAGUUGGAACUUAUUGCCUGAGUCAAGCCUUGAGAUGACUACAGCCUUGGCAGACAUCAAGUGCCUGAGCCAGAGGACCCAGCUAAGCCACUCUCAGAUUUCUGACCUACAGAAUUCGUGUGAUAAUAUUAAUACAUGUUUAUUGUUUUAAGUUGCUGAAUUUGGGGGUGGGUUGUCACACAGUCAUAGAAAACUGAUACAGUUGGAAAUAAUUUUGAAAGGUGAAAGGCAUAGUAUGAAAUCUGAUUCUGUGGUAUGGAGGGGUUUCAAAGACUGGCAGAACAAUUUGGACAUGGUACAGAAGCCAUUGAAAGCUCUUUCUCUCAUAGCUUUAUGGAGAUAUAAUUCACAUACAAUAUAAUUGUCAUUUAAAAUGUACAACUCACUAGUUUUUAGUAAGUUAGCAGAGUUGUGAAAUCAUCACCACAAGCUAUUUUCAUACACUUUGAUCUGCCCCCAAACAAAGCCCAUACCAAUUAGCAGUCAUACCCCAUUUUGUCCCAAGCCCUAGACAACUUCUCUACUUUUUGUGUCCAACAAAUUUUCCUAUUCUGGACAUUUCAGGCAGAGUAAUAAAAUACAUGGCUUUUUGUGUCUGCUUCUUUUACUUAGCAUAAUACUUUAAGGUUUAUUGGUGUUGUAGCAUGUGUCAGUAUAUUUGUUGCUUUUUAUCGCCAAAUAAUAUCCCAUUUUACUAAGAGACCACACUUUGUUUAUUCGUUGGUCACUUCAUGGAUGUUUGUGUUGUUUCCAAAUUUUGGCUAUUAGAAAUUAUGCUGC
RNAcentral lists this long non-coding RNA (3529 nucleotides) under Homo sapiens (human). Its description in RNAcentral is "novel transcript". The record is from RNAcentral. Lineage: Eukaryota; Metazoa; Chordata; Mammalia; Primates; Hominidae.